Molecule: ribosomal RNA, 389 nt
Filed under: Gnypetoscincus queenslandiae (prickly forest skink)
Lineage: Eukaryota; Metazoa; Chordata; Lepidosauria; Squamata; Scincidae
Description: Concinnia queenslandiae (prickly forest skink) partial 12S ribosomal RNA
Rfam family: Bacterial small subunit ribosomal RNA (bases 46-389)
Source: RNAcentral
GCUUAGCCCUUAACACAAAUAAUAUAAACACAAUAUUAUUCGCCAGAGAACUACAAGCGAAAAGCUUAAAACUCCAAGGACUUGGCGGUGCUUCAAACCAACCUAGAGGAGCCUGUCCUAUAAUCGAUACCCCACGUUUCACCUUACCCCUCCUAGCAAACCAGCCUAUAUACCGCCGUCGUAAGCCUACCUUGUGAAAGAAACAAAGUAGGCAAAAAAGUUAAUAACAAAUACAUCAGGUCAAGGUGUAGCACACGGAGCGGCAGAGAUGGGCUACAUUUUUCCAAAGCUAAAACACGAAUAGAAAACUGAAACACACGCUUGAAGGCGGAUUUAGUAGUAAAAUAAACAAGAAUAAUUAUUUUAAACCUGCUCUGAAGCGCGCACAC